GAACGAGAUCUUAACCUGCUAAUUAGCGGCGAAUACGUCAUAUUCUUAUGCGAAAUUGAAUAUAGAUGAAUUUGCUUAUUUUGAAGAAUACACUAGGAUACAAUUAAUGUGUCCUUUUCCCUAUUCUUCUUAAUUCGCAAUUCAUGCUGUUUCUCUUUUGCAUUAGAAUGUAUUCGUUUGAUUGUAAAGCUUCUUAGAGGAACGAUGUGUGUCUAACACAAGGAAGUUUAAGGCAACAACAGGUCUGUGAUGUCCUUAGAUGAACUAGGCUGCACGCGUGCUACACUGAUAUGUAUAACGAGUUACUAAAAAUAUACUUUUGUUAGGGUAUUUUAUAUACUCUUUCAAAUUGUAUAGUUUUCCUCCACUGAAAAGUGUAGGUAAUCUUUAUCAGUA
RNAcentral lists this ribosomal RNA (396 nucleotides) under Plasmodium ovale (malaria parasite P. ovale). RNAcentral describes it as "SSU rRNA". It matches the Rfam family "Eukaryotic small subunit ribosomal RNA", at positions 1333 to 1561 of the family's 1831-position model. The record is from RNAcentral. Lineage: Eukaryota; Apicomplexa; Aconoidasida; Haemosporida; Plasmodiidae.